This 208-nucleotide long non-coding RNA is filed under the name Erythranthe guttata (spotted monkey flower). Its description in RNAcentral is "long non-coding RNA (EGUT_LNC002397)". The record is from RNAcentral. Lineage: Eukaryota; Viridiplantae; Streptophyta; Magnoliopsida; Lamiales; Phrymaceae.
AGACGAGAGAGGGAGAAUGUGAGAGAUGGAGAGAAAGAAGAGAAAGAGAGACGUGAGAGAGGGAGAACGUGAGAGAUGGAGAACGAGAGAGGGAGAACGAGAGAGAAGAUGGAAGAAAAUAAGAAAAAUAAAUCUGGGAGAAACGUGUAGAAAUUAUGGAUUUAAGUUGAGGGCAAAUUUGGGAUAAAAAAAAGGUAAAGGAUGUGGG